This is a non-coding RNA of Pelobates cultripes (western spadefoot toad), 419 nucleotides long. Lineage: Eukaryota; Metazoa; Chordata; Amphibia; Anura; Pelobatidae. The record is from the annotation of a GenBank genome assembly.
CUAACAUCUAGCCCCCCUGCCCCCUUUGCCUCCCUAAAGAUAGUAAAAUUGUACUUGUAUUCAAGUCUGAAGCUGCUGCCUCUGCCUGUGAACUUCCUCUGACUUCAGCAGAAGUGGUAGCCUGAUCCAAUCACAAUGCUUCUCCAUAGGAUUGACUGAGACUGACAAGAAGGCAGAUCAGGGACAGAGCCAGCACAAUUCAAACACAGCCCUGGCCAAUCAGCAUCUCCUCAUAGAGAUGAAUUGAAUUAAUGAAUCUCUAUGAGGAAAGUUGUGUCUGCAUGCAGAGGGAGGAGAUACUGAAUGUUUGGGUGCAUUUUAGGCAGCCAUGACCCAGGAAGGAUCUCUAACAGCCAUCUGAGGAGUGGCCAGUGGAGUUAGCACUAAGCUGAAAAGACAGUGUUUACAGCAAAAAGCCU